CAGCAGCCACGGUAAUACGUAGGGUGCAAGCGUUAAUCGGAAUUACUGGGCGUAAAGCGCGCGUAGGCGGUUACUCAAGUCAGAGGUGAAAGCCCGGGGCUCAACCCCGGAACUGCCUUUGAAACUAGGUGACUAGAAUCUUGGAGAGGUCAGUGGAAUUCCGAGUGUAGAGGUGAAAUUCGUAGAUAUUCGGAAGAACACCAGUGGCGAAGGCGACUGACUGGACAAGUAUUGACGCUGAGGUGCGAAAGCGUGGGGAGCAAACAGGAUUAGAUACCCCCGUAGUCCCUGUCUCUUAUAC
RNAcentral lists this ribosomal RNA (301 nucleotides) under uncultured bacterium. Its description in RNAcentral is "partial 16S ribosomal RNA". It matches the Rfam family "Bacterial small subunit ribosomal RNA", at positions 509 to 807 of the family's 1533-position model. The record is from RNAcentral.